Molecule: long non-coding RNA, 409 nt
Organism: Erigeron canadensis
Lineage: Eukaryota; Viridiplantae; Streptophyta; Magnoliopsida; Asterales; Asteraceae
Exons: 3
Source: RefSeq, a predicted model, not a curated record
UCUCUUUUUCUUAUAAAUAUUUUUCUUAUCAAUCUAAAAUUCACAAAAACUCACUCUGUGUACAGUUUGUUUUCUUCUUAUACAUUCUGUUUGUCUGCUUCAUCUAAUCAUCUUUUGUAAAACUUUACUUUCAGGUACAGUUCAUGUAGCUCUCCAACUUUCUAAAACCUAUUUUAUCAGAACCAACGGUGGAUGAUUUCAACAUAGUUUGGUCACUUCUCCAUUAAACAUCAAGAAAUAAACCACAACUCAAGAAAAGCGGCAACUUCUAAAGUUCAACGAACUAUAGCAUCUUUUAGUGUCUUUUGUAAUAUAGUUAACCUUCUUUGAAAAAACAAAACCACUUUAUGUGUAUAAAGCCACUUUCUGUGUAUAAAGCCAAGUAAUAAGAAUUAUGUAUAUAUGGUUC